GAGAGUGGUCUAAUUUCCUGCUCUUUUGCCAGAAGAAUGGGUCUGCAAAGUAAGCUGACGCCACAACAGACGCAGGAGUGCAGCGGAGAACACAACACGCAGGUUCUUUGUGCGGCAGGAAAUGCUCUACACCGCGGACGAAUAUAAACCGGAGCCACACAUCCCGUUGUAUCACUCGAGAUGGCUGCCUCAACCAGAACCGUUCUCCUUCUCUGCUUGGCCUUUGCGGUUGUGGCCGCGGUGGCGCAGGAGUCUGCUGACGCGCCGCCACCAGCGGUCCCUAGCGGAGGUGUGGCCAACAACCAGGAACCAGUGCAGCCGGUGGCGGGCGACGGAGUUGCUGGGGACCAGGCGUUACAAGACCGCUGGGGGAUAUCCGCGAGCUUCCAUACCGGCUGAGCAGACUGCUGCCGCAUCCAAGAAAUCAGACAGCUUUACUUUCUUUUAAACUUUUAUGUCUCUUCUACAGCUCAAACAUUUAACAUUACUCCUGUUCCUGUAUCGAAAGGGACCUAUAAAUGAACAUGUGUUACAAAAGAAUAAAUAAAUUUUAGCAUUCAAAAAAGGUAA
Schistocerca americana (American grasshopper) is the source of this 570-nucleotide long non-coding RNA. RefSeq lists it as uncharacterized. The record is from RefSeq and is a predicted model, not a curated record. Lineage: Eukaryota; Metazoa; Arthropoda; Insecta; Orthoptera; Acrididae. The transcript is spliced from 2 exons.